UCAAACAAAAUGUUAAACGAAGCGCAUUAUUUAAAAAAAAAAGAGUAAUGCAAAAGCGAGUCGAAUCAAAGAGGAUGCCAAUCCAAAUCAUUGCAUAUACAUGUAUAUGCAUGAUCGAUGACUACAUAUAUUAUACCAAGAGUGUAGAACGACGCUAGUGUGUAUAUAUAAGUACAUGUUAUUAGUCGGUGUUCAGUCAUCGCAAAAUCAAAACAUAUCGAGAUAUACCGGAUAUUCAUCUAGCGAUACCAAGCAUAAUAUAUUGUAUGGUCGCGUACCAUGCACCGAGAUAAACAUUGGGCCAGCAAACCGUUCCUCAGUGCAUUGGCUUUGAUUGAAAAAUUCAGCUUUCACAAGGUGUACUACUACAAUAAUGGUUGUAUUAAUAUCGGACUGAAGCUUCUUUUUUUCGACUAUUACAUCCAUGCACCGCAUAUAAUAUAUACAUAAAUGCACUCAACAUCCAAGAGUGGUUGGCCGUAUAUAUAUAUAUAUUUAACUACAAUCAUCAUAGCACACACACGGCUUAAACGCG
Molecule: long non-coding RNA, 535 nt
Organism: Bradysia coprophila
Lineage: Eukaryota; Metazoa; Arthropoda; Insecta; Diptera; Sciaridae
Source: RefSeq, a predicted model, not a curated record